CGUAGGAUCCGAGCGUUGUCCGGAUUUACUGGGUGUAAAGGGUGCGCAGGCGGACUGGUAAGUCAGUGGCGAAAUCUCGUCGCUUAACGACGAAACUGCCUUUGAUACUAUCAGUCUUGAGUCCGGUAGAGAUCUGUGGAAUUCCGAGUGUAGCAGUGAAAUGUGUAGAUAUUCGGAAGAACACCAGUGGCGAAGGCAGCAGAUUGGGCCGGUACUGACGCUCAUGCACGAAAGCGUGGGGAUCAAACAGGAUUAGAUACCCUGGUAGUCCACGCCCUAAACGAUGUACACUUGAUGUCGGCCUGUAAGGGUCGGUGUCGGAGCUAACGCGUUAAGUGUACCACCUGGGGAGUACGCUCGCAAGGGUG
This 368-nucleotide ribosomal RNA is filed under the name uncultured organism. Its description in RNAcentral is "bacterial SSU rRNA". It matches the Rfam family "Bacterial small subunit ribosomal RNA", at positions 526 to 896 of the family's 1533-position model. The record is from RNAcentral.